This 495-nucleotide ribosomal RNA is filed under the name uncultured bacterium. RNAcentral's name for it is "partial 16S ribosomal RNA". It matches the Rfam family "Bacterial small subunit ribosomal RNA", at positions 28 to 522 of the family's 1533-position model. The record is from RNAcentral.
GAUGAACGCUGGCGGCGUGCCUAACACAUGCAAGUCGAGCGGUAUAUACUUUAUCAAAUCUUCGGAAGAGAGACGGUAUAGAGAGCGGCGGACGGGUGAGUAACGCGUAGGCAACCUGCCCCAUACAGAGGGAUAGCCUCGGGAAACCGGGAUUAAAACCUCAUAACGCGAAAGAGUCACAUGGCUUUUUCGCCAAAGAUUUAUCGGUAUGGGAUGGGCCUGCGUCUGAUUAUCUAGUUGGGGGGGUAACGGCCUACCAAGGCGACGAUCAGUAGCCGACCUGAGAGGGUAAUAGGCCACAUUGGAACUGAGACUCGGUCCAAACUCCUACGGGAGGCAGCAGUGGGGAAUAUUGCACAAUGGGCGAAAGCCUGAUGCAGCAACGCCGCGUGAGCGAUGAAGGCCUUUGGGUCGUAAAGCUCUGUCCUUGGGGAAGAAUAAAUGACGGUACCCUUGGAGGAAGCCCCGGCUAACUACGUGCCAGCCGCCGCAUAA